UUGACGAAAUAGAAGGGGAUAUAGCUUUACACGAUAUAGAAGACAACUGGAGGUCUCUACGAGACAACCUGCUAAGGGCCACUGACCAGAUCUGUGGAUGGUGCAAAGUCCCCUCUCAACCCAAAAUAACGUGGUGGUGGAACAAUGUUGUUGACAGGGCUAUUAGAGAAAAGAGACAACAUUUAUUAGAAAAAUAU
Molecule: long non-coding RNA, 197 nt
Organism: Octopus sinensis (East Asian common octopus)
Lineage: Eukaryota; Metazoa; Mollusca; Cephalopoda; Octopoda; Octopodidae
Exons: 3
Source: RefSeq, a predicted model, not a curated record